Molecule: unclassified non-coding RNA, 212 nt
Filed under: plant metagenome
Description: partial contains small subunit ribosomal RNA, internal transcribed spacer 1, and 5.8S ribosomal RNA
Source: RNAcentral
UCUCCGUUGGUGAACCAGCGGAGGGAUCAUUACAGGAUCGAAAGACUCCUAUAACCCCUGUGAACUUACUACAAAUACGUUGCUUCGGCGGGUGCCCCGGGUCUCCCGGGGCGCUCAGCCCGCCGGCAGCCUUCAAAUUCUGUUUCUUUGCGUUGGCAUCUCGAGUAUACAAAAAUAAGUUAAAACUUUCAACAACGGAUCUCUUGGUUCUG